RNAcentral lists this ribosomal RNA (228 nucleotides) under uncultured bacterium. RNAcentral describes it as "partial 16S ribosomal RNA". It matches the Rfam family "Bacterial small subunit ribosomal RNA", at positions 568 to 795 of the family's 1533-position model. The record is from RNAcentral.
UGCGUAGGCGGACUAAUAAGUCAGUGGUGAAAUCUCACGGCUCAACCGGGAAACUGCCAUUGAUACUGUUAGUCUUGAGUUCGGUUGAGGUAGGCGGAAUGUGUAAUGUAGCGGUGAAAUGCUUAGAUAUUACACAGAACACCAAUUGCGUAGGCAGCUUACUAGACCGACACUGACGCUGAGGCACGAAAGCGUGGGUAGCGAACAGGAUUAGAUACCCUGGUAGUC